This 520-nucleotide ribosomal RNA is filed under the name uncultured bacterium. RNAcentral's name for it is "bacterial SSU rRNA". It matches the Rfam family "Bacterial small subunit ribosomal RNA", at positions 777 to 1297 of the family's 1533-position model. The record is from RNAcentral.
AAUAGAUACCCGGGUAGUCCACGCCGUAAACGAUGAGUGCUAAGUGUUAGAGGGUUUCUGCCCUUUAGUGCUGAAGUUAACGCAUUAAGCACUCCGCCUGGGGAGUACGGCCGCAAGGCUGAAACUCAAAGGAAUUGACGGGGGCCCGCACAAGCGGUGGAGCAUGUGGUUUAAUUCGAAGCAACGCGAAGAACCUUACCAGGUCUUGACAUCCUCUGACAACCCUAGAGAUAGGGCUUCUCCUUCGGGAGCAGAGUGACAGGUGGUGCAUGGUUGUCGUCAGCUCGUGUCGUGAGAUGUUGGGUUAAGUCCCGCAACGAGCGCAACCCUUGAUCUUAGUUGCCAUCAUUAAGUUGGGCACUCUAAGGUGACUGCCGGUGACAAACCGGAGGAAGGUGGGGAUGACGUCAAAUCAUCAUGCCCCUUAUGACCUGGGCUACACACGUGCUACAAUGGACGGUACAAAGAGCUGCAAGACCGCGAGGUGGAGCUAAUCUCAUAAAACCGUUCUCAGUUCGGA